Molecule: ribosomal RNA, 634 nt
Filed under: uncultured bacterium
Lineage: Bacteria
Description: bacterial SSU rRNA
Rfam family: Bacterial small subunit ribosomal RNA (bases 1-533)
Source: RNAcentral
CCUACGGGAGGCAGCAGUGAGGAAUAUUGGACAAUGGGCGCAAGCCUGAUCCAGCCAUGCCGCGUGCAGGAAGACGGUCCUAUGGAUUGUAAACUGCUUUUAUACAGGAAGAAACACCUCUACGUGUAGAGACUUGACGGUACUGUAUGAAUAAGCAUCGGCUAACUCCGUGCCAGCAGCCGCGGUAAUACGGAGGAUGCAAGCGUUAUCCGGAAUCAUUGGGUUUAAAGGGUCCGUAGGCGGUUUAAUAAGUCAGUGGUGAAAGCCCAUCGCUCAACGAUGGAACGGCCAUUGAUACUGUUAAACUUGAAUUAUUAGGAAGUAACUAGAAUAUGUAGUGUAGCGGUGAAAUGCUUAGAGAUUACAUGGAAUACCAAUUGCGAAGGCAGGUUACUACUAAUAUAUUGACGCUGAUGGACGAAAGCGUGGGGAGCGAACAGGAUUAGAUACCCUGGUAGUCCACGCCGUAAACGAUGGAUACUAGCUGUUCGGAGCAAUCUGAGUGNGUAGAGAAGUAGAGUAAGUAUACCACCGUACGGAGGUACGGUUACGUACGAAGAAAGUAGUAAACGUUAAAGUUAAGUAAGUUAGUACGGACGUAGAGAGAGACGACGGACGACGACGAGGGAGGAGG